Teleopsis dalmanni is the source of this 762-nucleotide long non-coding RNA. RefSeq lists it as uncharacterized. The transcript is spliced from 4 exons. NCBI's taxonomy places the organism in Eukaryota, Metazoa, Arthropoda, Insecta, Diptera, Diopsidae. The record is from RefSeq and is a predicted model, not a curated record.
AUUCCCAAAGAGUUUCAAUAAGUGAAAAUUAAAAAUUUCUUUUCGGCCCUUUCAUCUAAAUUAUAUGUUGUUGAUUCAGUUUAAUAAUACUUUGACAUUACUAUUAAUUUAAAUGAGGGUCCUAUUAAAAGAUGAAGGUAAAAAUGUAACAUAUUGAAAUGAAGUAUCUCUUCAAAUUCGUUAAGUAGUAAAAGAAUUGUAUGUCACCAAAUUGUAGACUUCUCUUGUAUAUAUAGGUAUGAUAUUUACUAUUCAGCUCAUAAUAAAAAGUCAUUUCGAAAUUAUGGAUUGUAAGGCCUUACAGUUGUAAAAAUAUUGAAAAUCAUAUCAUUACAUCAUUAAACAAAGAAUGGGAAUGUGAAUGGAAACACUAACAUAUUAUGAGUAAUAUAUUGAAAUAUCUUGAAAAUGGUUUUGCAAGUGAAUUACCUUUCAAUCCGAAUCUCACACGAGUAUAUUACCCAGAUGUGACGCUCUCCUUCAAUCCUUAGUGUAUAAUGGAAGUUAUUAUAUAUCACUUUAUACAAUGGAUUAUAUGAUUAUGAAUAUGAUAUGAGUGGUAACUUCUCAAAUCUAAAAAACAUCAGAAAAACAGUUUCUAUCAUUUGUUGGACAUACGAUAUCAUAAUAUCACACCGCACUAAGGAUUCGAAUGAAAUUACUAAUAAUUUCAAUCAAAUAUCAAAAUGUAUCUAAAAAGGUGUUGCAAGUGCAUAACUUGUUAAUCCGAAUCCCAGACGAGUCUUUUACCUAGAUGUAACG